UUUGCUUUCGGUUUUGGUGGUCA
Molecule: non-coding RNA, 23 nt
Filed under: Arabidopsis thaliana (thale cress)
Lineage: Eukaryota; Viridiplantae; Streptophyta; Magnoliopsida; Brassicales; Brassicaceae
Source: RNAcentral